CUCCGGGUUGAUCCCGCCGGACCUGACUGCUAUCGGAUUGGUACUAAGCCAUGCGAGUCAUUGUAGCAAUACAAGGCGGACGGCUCAGUAACACGUAGUCAACCUAACUCGUGGACGUGGAUAACCUCGGGAAACUGAGAAUAAACCACGAUAGAUCAUAGUGCCUGGAAUGGCUUAUGGUCCAAACAGUUUACUGCCAUGGGAUGGGACUGCGGCCUAUCAGCUUGUUGGUGAGGUAAUGGCCCACCAAGGCGAUUACAGGUACGGGCUCUGAGAGGAGAAGCCCGGAGAUGGGUACUGAGACACGGACCCAGGCCCUAUGGGGCGCAGCAGGCGAGAAACCUUAGCAAUGUGCGAAAGCACGACUGGGUCAGUCCGAGUGAUUCCUGAUAAAGGAGUCUUUUGCUUGUCCUAAAAGCACAGGUGAAUAAGGGGUGGGCAAGUCUGGUGUCAGCCGCCGCGGUAAUACCAGCACCUCGAGUGGUCAGGACGUUUAUUGGGCCUAAAGCAUCCGUAGCCGGCUUUGCAAGUCUUCGGUUAAAUCCACCUGCUCAACAGAUGGGCUGCUGGAGAUACUACAAAGCUAGGGAGUGGGAGAGGCAGACGGUAUUCAGUGGGUAGGGGUAAAAUCCUCUGAUCCAUUGAGGACCACCAGUGGCGAAGGCGGUCUGCCAGAACACGUUCGACGGUGAGGGAUGAAAGCUGGGGGAGCAAACCGGAUUAGAUACCCGGGUAGUCCCAGCUGUAAACGAUGCAAACUCGGUGAUGCAUUGGCUUAUGGCCAAUGCAGUGCCGCAGGGAAGCCGUUAAGUUUGCCGCCUGGGAAGUACGGACGCAAGUCUGAAACUUAAAGGAUUGGCGGGGGAGCA
RNAcentral lists this ribosomal RNA (869 nucleotides) under uncultured archaeon. Its description in RNAcentral is "bacterial SSU rRNA". It matches the Rfam family "Archaeal small subunit ribosomal RNA", at positions 1 to 878 of the family's 1478-position model. The record is from RNAcentral.